ACGGAGGGUGCAAGCGUUAAUCGGAAUCACUGGGCGUAAAGCGCACGUAGGCGGUAGUGUAAGUCAGACGUGAAAUCCCUUGGCUUAACUGAGGAACUGCGUUUGAAACUGCACAACUUGAGUGCUGGAGAGGGUGGCGGAAUUCCCGGUGUAGGAGUGAAAUCCGUAGAUAUCGGGAGGAACACCAGUGGCGAAGGCGGCCACCUGGACAGACACUGACGCUGAGGUGCGAAAGCGUGGGUAGCAAACAG
This 251-nucleotide ribosomal RNA is filed under the name uncultured prokaryote. RNAcentral describes it as "partial 16S rRNA". It matches the Rfam family "Bacterial small subunit ribosomal RNA", at positions 525 to 775 of the family's 1533-position model. The record is from RNAcentral.